Molecule: ribosomal RNA, 666 nt
Filed under: unidentified microorganism
Description: bacterial SSU rRNA
Rfam family: Bacterial small subunit ribosomal RNA
Source: RNAcentral
AUACAUGCAAGUCGAACGAGAGUUAUUCCAGCUUGCUGGAUUUGAAAGUGGCGCACGGGUGCGUAACGCGUAUGCAACCUACCUUAAUCUGGGGGAUAGCCCGGAGAAAUCCGGAUUAACACCGCAUAAAAACACAGGAUAGCAUUAUCCAAUGUUCAAAUAUUUAUAGGAUUGGGAUGGGCAUGCGUGUCAUUAGCUAGUUGGCGGGGUAACGGCCCACCAAGGCGACGAUGACUAGGGGAUCUGAGAGGAUGGCCCCCCACACUGGUACUGAGACACGGACCAGACUCCUACGGGAGGCAGCAGUAAGGAAUAUUGGUCAAUGGAGGCAACUCUGAACCAGCCAUGCCGCGUGCAGGAAGACUGCCCUAUGGGUUGUAAACUGCUUUUAUCCGGGAAUAAACCUCUUUACGUGUAGAGAGCUGAAUGUACCGGAAGAAUAAGGAUCGGCUAACUCCGUGCCAGCAGCCGCGGUAAUACGGAGGAUCCAAGCGUUAUCCGGAUUUAUUGGGUUUAAAGGGUGCGUAGGCGGCCUGUUAAGUCAGGGGUGAAAGACGGUAGCUCAACUAUCGCAGUGCCCUUGAUACUGAUGGGCUUGAAUGGACUAGAGGUAGGCGGAAUGAGACAAGUAGCGGUGAAAUGCAUAGAUAUGUCUCAGAACACCGA